CACACAUUCACUACUCCUUUACAGCCCCACACCUCUAGGCAGAGGCUGUAGUACAGUCACACAUUCACUACUCCUUUACAGCUCCACACCUCUAGGCAGAGGCUGUAGUACAGUCACAUAGACUUCACUACUUCUUUAAAAGCUCUACAAUAGGCUGAAUUAUUAUUUUGAUGAUGUUCUAUCUAUUCACAAUGAACUUUGGAACAACCUUGAUAAAGAUUGGAAUCUCAUGAUGGGUGACCUCCAAACACUAGAUGCAACCAAAACCAAUAAUGAAAAUAGAAUAAUGCCUAAACAUGAACUGCUAUUGACAAAAAUAGGUGAGACAGUGCAUCUGCACCAUAGAGAUAGAGCACUAUUUUUUGUAUCUGUGCCAUUAUGGCGUCUGUGACAGCAUGGGCAGCGUCAUUGAGGCUAUCUCCAUUUUGAAGACAUACAUUUUCUUCUUCACGAUUGGCUGAUCCCUCCUGAUGACCCGGUUGGACAUGAGUCCUACAGAGUCACCAACAGGGAUCAGUCAAUGAAGUUGGAAGUCCAACUAGUUGACUACAUUAAAAUGGUGGAAGCCCUAAAUUGGGAUGGCCAUGCUAACACAGCCUUUUGGCCACUAGAGGCCUCUCUCAUUCUCUAUGGUCUGUAGGACCCAUUGGACACCAUAUUCAGGGUUGAAGAAUAAUGUAAUCAGAUUUUUUUUUAAACAGUAACUGUAAUCAGUUACAUUACCAGCAAACAUAUUGUAAUCAGAUUAUCGCUACUUUUGAAAAACUAGAUGAUUACUUCUUGGAUUACUUUUAAAUUCUGAAAGGAUGUUUUCUAAAUUCAAUUCAGCAUUGAAAAGAAGCGCAAGUUUAAGUUUGUUCCACCUCAGCGAAUCUGACUACAAAUCAGGGACCACUAUGAUAACGUACCAAAUGUGUUUCAUGGAUCAUUUUUAUCUUCUAAUUAAUACCUCUUAAAGGGAAGGUCAUCUGAAUGUAAUCAGAUUACAUUACUGAGUUUGGGUAAUCCAAAAUUGACAUUACUGAUUGCAAUUUUUGACUGGUAACUAGAAACUGUAACGGAUUACAUUUAGAAAGUAACCUAGCCAGGGCGACAGGGUAGCCUAGUGGUUAGAGUGUAGAGGCGGC
This is a long non-coding RNA of Oncorhynchus tshawytscha (Chinook salmon), 1127 nucleotides long. The record is from Ensembl. NCBI's taxonomy places the organism in Eukaryota, Metazoa, Chordata, Actinopteri, Salmoniformes, Salmonidae.